Long non-coding RNA from Gorilla gorilla gorilla (western lowland gorilla), 773 nucleotides. RefSeq lists it as uncharacterized. The record is from RefSeq and is a predicted model, not a curated record. Lineage: Eukaryota; Metazoa; Chordata; Mammalia; Primates; Hominidae. The transcript has 3 exons.
GCGGCCGACGGAGACUACAAACCAGAGGCGGAGGACAAAGCGGAAGGCCGAAGAGCGAGGACGAAACCGGCGGAACCGCACUUUGGAGCCUAACGAGCCAUCGCUGCGUCUGAGACUGAGACCCGGUAGUAAACAGGCCGGACGUGACGCAAGCCGCUCGGCCUAGGGAUGGUGGCUGGCCGGGUUGUCAUGGAAACCGCACCGGAGCCGGGAGCUGGGAGCUAUGAGUGCUGACUGCGUGAACUCGGCCUCCACUUCCCGGACCUGCCACUUAUCAUGAUCCACGAGCUGUACUCAUGACUCCGCACAAGCAAGCAGGGGCUGACGGUCGGAUCCCUCGCCCCCAUUUUACGGACAGAAGUACUGAGGCUCAAAAAGAGCCAGUGAGAUGCUGAAAUCACGCGUGAUUGGAAUCCAGCCUUGUUAGGGCUGCGGGUGUUACGGGCCGUGGGCGGCGGUUAAGAGCGCUAGUCAAGUGAAGCAAUGGGAAUGGAGAAGAAACAAAUCUAUAACUGGUUGUGAUGAAUUAGUCGUAAGCACCACUGCAAUUGGACCAGUCAAUACCAUGGUUAUCACAGGAGCGUGGCUGAGGCUGUUUGGCCCUGAGUGCCAGGUCUGCACCCUGCACUAAGGAUGGGUGAGGAACGACAGGCAGUCAAGCUGGUUGGUGCUACAGGCAACGUACAGUAAGCCAUGAUGGGCAGAGGCAGGAAAUACUUAGAGAACUGGAAAGAAUAAAGGAGCCGGUGUUCUCUUCGCAGGGCCAGGUGAGU